GCUGUCUUUAUCACAAACAGUAAAAGGCUUAAAGAUUGAUAUUCGAGAUUUUAAAUUCGAAGUUUAGUUAUCUCAGAUUUUAACUAAAUUCAUUUGAAAAAAAAAUAACUACGAAACAAAUAACAUACUAUCUUACUCUCCGAACAAAAAAAAAAGAAAAAAAAAAAGAGGAAAGUGUGGCUUCAAACAUUUUGCCUGUGGGUGUUACCUUGGAAAAAUUAUAAAAUGCAUGAAUUAUAUUAGUGACGGGCAUCCUCAAGCAAUUAAAUAAUUUUUUUAGAUUAAUCCGUCAAUCAUAAUUUUUUUAUUAUAUAUUGUUUUAAAGAAAGAGAUGUGAUUGAUUUAUAAUUACUGCGGCGGUGCAAGUAUGAUACUAUAGACUUUCUCGUUACCUUG
Molecule: long non-coding RNA, 396 nt
Filed under: Ananas comosus (pineapple)
Lineage: Eukaryota; Viridiplantae; Streptophyta; Magnoliopsida; Poales; Bromeliaceae
Description: long non-coding RNA (ACOM_LNC025194)
Source: RNAcentral